GUUUCAAACGGCUGCUUCACCCAUUUUCGGCCUUUUAGGGUUUCCUGAGUCUAUAUAAUGCUACACUGGUUCGCCGCAUUCCUCUAAAUUCACAACAAUGGAGGAGUCAUUCGACUUGGUACUUUCUCGAUCUGAGCUUAGCAUGCCGCUCUUCAGCGAGAAAAUCGUUCUUCUGUUCAGGGACGUAUAUAAUCGGCGACCACUCUCGUAAUCAUCAGAUAUACAUAUUUAAGGUUCAUGAAUCUAUCUGUAAUUCUGAGGUUUCACAAAUUGGUGGAAACACUUCCUUUUGGACUAAAAAUGGAUACGGUCAAGUGGUGAAAUGGCACAAGUAUUGUUGAGUCCUUGCGAAAAA
This is a long non-coding RNA of Rhododendron vialii, 355 nucleotides long. RefSeq lists it as uncharacterized. NCBI's taxonomy places the organism in Eukaryota, Viridiplantae, Streptophyta, Magnoliopsida, Ericales, Ericaceae. The record is from RefSeq and is a predicted model, not a curated record. The transcript is spliced from 2 exons.